RNAcentral lists this ribosomal RNA (467 nucleotides) under uncultured bacterium. Its description in RNAcentral is "partial 16S ribosomal RNA". It matches the Rfam family "Bacterial small subunit ribosomal RNA", at positions 28 to 507 of the family's 1533-position model. The record is from RNAcentral.
GACGAACGCUGGCGGCGUGCUUAACACAUGCAAGUCGAACGGAAAGGCCUGCUUUUGUGGGGUGCUCGCGUGGCGAACGGGUGAGUAACACGUGAGUAACCUGCCCUUGACUUUGGGAUAACUUCAGGAAACUGGGGCUAAUACCGGAUAGGAGCUCCUGCUGCAUGGUGGGGAUUGGAAAGUUUCGGCGGUUGGGGAUGGACUCGCGGCUUAUCAGCUUGUUGGUGGGGUAGUGGCUUACCAAGGCUUUGACGGGUAGCCGGCCUGAGAGGGUGACCGGCCACAUUGGGACUGAGAUACGGCCCAGACUCCUACGGGAGGCAGCAGUGGGGAAUAUUGCACAAUGGGCGGAAGCCUGAUGCAGCAACGCCGCGUGCGGGAUGACGGCCUUCGGGUUGUAAACCGCUUUCGCCUGUGACGAAGCGUGAGUGACGGUAAUGGGUAAAGAAGCACCGGCUAACUACGUG